Molecule: long non-coding RNA, 1217 nt
Filed under: Piliocolobus tephrosceles (Ugandan red Colobus)
Lineage: Eukaryota; Metazoa; Chordata; Mammalia; Primates; Cercopithecidae
Description: lncRNA (ENSPTEG00000036391.1)
Source: RNAcentral
GUGCCCCUCAGUGUUUGAAGAGUUUUCAGAGCAUCUUAUACUAGUUGCUGCCACAGCCAAUGACCAGAGUUUAUCACAGGGGCAGUGAGAAAUUACUUCCACUUUUGGAAUGGUUUCAUUUUCUAGUUCCUUUAUUUGUAAUAUGAAUAUCAAAACCACAAAAGCAUCUCUGUGCAUCAUAUGCAGAAACUGAAAGUUUGUAUUCCAUAUCAAAUUUGUAAUCAUUAAGCACAUCAUUUUCUUCCUGCCAUAUGGGAAGCCGGAAAGGCCUGAAGGAAAACACAGCACUAUGCAAACAAGUGGCCGGAGAAGAACAUUUUACUUUAUGGAGACUUUUAAAUCUUUGAAUGAAAAUGAAAGCUACAGUCCUAAACUCUCAUUUAGUUAUUUCUCAUUGGCUUUCUUUUAGGCUUCCAUGGUUCUUUGAAAAUAUGUGUCAUGUUUCAGCAGACCAAAACACAUCCUGUGAUACACUGAACUAUUGGUCAAUGGCUCUGAAGUAGGAAAAAAAUAGAAGCACGCGAAAAAUUAGAAACAUAGUAACUCUCCACUUCCUUAUUUUUCCUAUUGAGACUUUUGUCCGUUUUUCCAAUGAUAGCGUUUGUCCUUCUCACAUUUCUAAUAAGUAACUUUUAGGAAGAUUGCCUUGCAUCUAACUGUACCUGACUGCCAGGGGCUGAUGAGGCAAUAGUCUGGCAUAUUUGGGUACUUUGUAAUAUGUCAAAAGUUGGAGAAAAGGAUAAAAUACCUUGCAAAUGUUUUUUUUCAAAGUACAAAUCAAGACUGCAUUUGGUAAAGGUUUUCAGCUUGAAUGCAAAUCUGUGGUCACUUUAGAGGCAUUGUUCGAUCUAAUGAGAACAAGGAAGCUAAAGCAGAAACCAAGGUCGCCUGUUCCUCUAGAUGAUCAAAAGGAGAAAAGAGAAAUAGUUUGUGUGAGUAAACUAAAAGCUCUAGACUUCAUUUCCAUCUGCCUGAUGAACAUCUCUACCUUAAAAUCCUGUUAUCCAGUUUCACGGGGGACUUCACUGACACGAGGACUAUUAUGAGAGGAUCGGCAGAGGGACCUUCAUUCAAGGCCAUGAGAAACACAAAUGUGUCUCCUCUCAAUAGAGCAUCUUUUCUAAUACAUCUGCAUUUCUCUCUACCAUUAUGUUAUACUAAUUUAUAAAAUGUAGCUGUUUUUAAUAAAAGAAUUUUCAUUUAAAAAAUAAUUUACA